RNAcentral lists this ribosomal RNA (253 nucleotides) under uncultured bacterium. Its description in RNAcentral is "partial 16S ribosomal RNA". It matches the Rfam family "Bacterial small subunit ribosomal RNA", at positions 524 to 776 of the family's 1533-position model. The record is from RNAcentral.
UACAGAGGUGGCAAGCGUUGUUCGGAAUUACUGGGCGUAAAGGGCGCGUAGGCGGUCCUGUAAGUCCUGUGUGAAAUCCCCCGGCUCAACUGGGGAAUUGCACGGGAAACAGCGGGGCUUGAGUUCGGGAGAGGGAAGCGGAAUUCCGGGUGUAGCGGUGAAAUGCGUAGAUAUCCGGAGGAACACCGGUGGCGAAGGCGGCUUCCUGGACCGACACUGACGCUGAGGCGCGAAAGCGUGGGGAGCGAACAGG